ACUAGUGAUUGUGCCAGCAGCCGCRGUAAUACGGAGGGUGCAAGCGCUGUCCUGAUUUAUUGGGUUUAAAGGGUCCGUAGGCGGAUGCGUAAGUCAGUGGUGAAAUCUCACAGCUCAACUGUGAAACUGCCAUUGAUACUGCGUGUCUUGAGUGAGGUUGAAGUAGCUGGAAUAAGUAGUGUAGCGGUGAAAUGCAUAGAUAUUACUUAGAACACCAAUUGCGAAGGCAGGUUACUAAGUCUCAACUGACGCUGAUGGACGAAAGCGUGGGGAGCGAACAGGAUUAGAUACCCUGGUAGUCCACGCUGUAAACGAUGCUAACUCAUUUUUGGGGAUUUAUCUUCAGAGACUAAGCGAAAGUGAUAAGUUAGCCACCUGGGGAGUACGAACGCAAGUUUGAAGCUCAAAGGAAUUGACGGGGGCCCGCACAAGCGGUGGAUUAUGUGGUUUAAUUCGAUGAUACGCGAGGAACCUUACCAAGGCUUAAAUGGGAAUUGAUCGGUUUAGAAAUAGACCUUCCUUCGGGCAAUUUUCAAGGUGCUGCAUGGUUGUCGUCAGCUCGUGCCGUGAGGUGUUAGGUUAAGUCCUGCAACGAGCGCAACCCCUGUCACUAGUUGCCACCAUUCAGUUGGGGGACUCUAGUGAGACUGCCUACGCAGUAGAGAGGAAGUGGGAUGAACGUCAAAACAUCCACGGCCCUUUACGCCCUUUKGGGGACCA
Molecule: ribosomal RNA, 720 nt
Filed under: uncultured Chryseobacterium sp.
Lineage: Bacteria; Pseudomonadati; Bacteroidota; Flavobacteriia; Flavobacteriales; Weeksellaceae
Description: bacterial SSU rRNA
Rfam family: Bacterial small subunit ribosomal RNA
Source: RNAcentral